Molecule: ribosomal RNA, 494 nt
Filed under: uncultured bacterium
Lineage: Bacteria
Description: partial 16S ribosomal RNA
Rfam family: Bacterial small subunit ribosomal RNA
Source: RNAcentral
GAUGAACGCUAGCGGCAGGCUUAACACAUGCAAGUCGAGGGGUAUAGGUUUUCGGACCUAGAGACCGGCGCACGGGUGCGUAACGCGUAUGCAAUCUACCUUUCACAGAGGGAUAGCCCAGAGAAAUUUGGAUUAAUACCUCAUAGUAUUAUAGAAUGGCAUCAUUUUAUAAUUAAAGUCACAUCGGUGAAAGAUGAGCAUGCGUCCCAUUAGCUAGUUGGUACGGUAACGGCAUACCAAGGCUACGAUGGGUAGGGGUCCUGAGAGGGAGAUCCCCCACACUGGUACUGAGACACGGACCAGACUCCUACGGGAGGCAGCAGUGAGGAAUAUUGGUCAAUGGGCGCAAGCCUGAACCAGCCAUGCCGCGUGCAGGAUGACGGUCCUAUGGAUUGUAAACUGCUUUUGUACGGGAAGAAACACUCCUACGUGUAGGAACUUGACGGUACCGUAAGAAUAAGGAUCGGCUAACUCCGUGCCAGCAGCCGCAGUAA